Molecule: ribosomal RNA, 417 nt
Filed under: Spodoptera androgea
Lineage: Eukaryota; Metazoa; Arthropoda; Insecta; Lepidoptera; Noctuidae
Description: partial 16S ribosomal RNA
Source: RNAcentral
GGGCUGCAGUAUAUUGACUGUACAAAGGUAGCAUAAUCAUUAGUCAUUUAAUUGAUGACUUGUAUGAAAGAUUGGAUGAAAUAUAAACUGUCUCUUUAUUAUUUAUAGAAUUUAAUUUUUUAAUUAAAAAGUUAAAAUAGAUUAAAAAGACGAGAAGACCCUAUAGAGUUUUAUAUUUAAAUUAAUUAAGAUUAUUUAUAAAAAUUUUAAUUAAAAUUAUUUUAUGUAUUUUGUUGGGGUGACAGAAAAAUAAAAAUAACUUUUUUUUUAAAAUAACAUAUAUAAGUGAUUUAAUGAUCCAUUAUUAUUGAUUAUAAGAAAAAAUUACCUUAGGGAUAACAGCGUAAUUUUUUUUUUUAGUUCAAAUAAAAAAAAGAGUUUGCGACCUCGAUGUUGGAUUAAGAUAAAAUUUAAAUG